AUGUAUAAGAUCCGCUUGACUUGUUCUGUAAGUUGUUCAAGAUAUCUCAUCGCACAAGGCUUGGCUUUCCGUGGACAGGAUGAAUCCUCUACUUAUAUGAACAAGGGAAAUUUUAGAGAGAUGAUAGAUUUGGAAAAGACUAAAAAUGAACAAGUGAGAGAUGCUUUUGACCAUGGUGGAAGAAAUUGCACAAUGACAUCCGGUGACAUUCAAAAGGAGCUUGCAAUGUGUUGUGCACAUGAAGUUACCAAGAGGAUCAUGGCUGAGCUUGGUGAUAAACAAUUCUCUGUGCUUAUUGAUGAAUCGCGCGAUAUAUCUGUGAAAGAGCAAAUGGCAGUGAUGUUGAGGUUUUUGAAUGACCAAGGAAAGGUUGUGGAACGAUUUAUUGCUCUACAUCAUGUCAAAGAUACUACAUCUGAGGCACUAAAGAAUGCUCUUUAUGCAAUUCUUGAUCAUUAUAAGUUAUCUAUUUCAAGGAUACGAGGGCAAGGAUAUGAUGGUGCUUCAAAUAUGAGAGGCGAGUUUAAUGGUUUGCAGAGAAAAAUCAUAGAUGAAAACCCUUUUGCUUUCUAUGUUCAUUGCUAUGCUCAUCGUUUGCAGUUGGUGGUUGUCUCUGUUUCUAGUAGUUGCUCAUCUAUUCAUGAUUUCUUUGAGUACAUCUCCUUAAUUGUCACUACAACAAGUUCAUCUUGCAAGAGAAGGGAUGAAUUGACAGAGGCACAACACCAAGAUAUUCUGCACAGACUUGAGAGUGGCGAGAUAUCUACAGGAAGGGGCUUGCACCAAUCAUCUACUCUUGCUAGGCCAGGUGAUACUAGAUGGGGUUCCCAUCAUACUACUUUGCUUCGUUUGAAUCAAGUGUGGUCCUCUGUGUUACAGGUGCUUAGUACGGUUGAUGAACAUGGACGUGGGCCAUCUCAAGCAGCAGGUUUGAUAGAAAAAAUGGAGAGCUUUAAAUUUGCUUUCAUUCUAAAGCUUAUGUUGAAGUUGUUUGGCAUCGCA
RNAcentral lists this ribosomal RNA (1002 nucleotides) under Triticum aestivum (bread wheat). Its description in RNAcentral is "partial small subunit ribosomal RNA". Lineage: Eukaryota; Viridiplantae; Streptophyta; Magnoliopsida; Poales; Poaceae. The record is from RNAcentral.